CCUACGGGAGGCAGCAGAGGGGAAUAUUGGGCAAUGGGCGCAAGCCUGACCCAGCAACGCCGCGUGAAGGAAGAAGGCUUUCGGGUUGUAAACUUCUUUUGACAGGGAAGAGUAGCAGCCGGUACCUGUCGAAUCAGCCACGGCUAACUACUUGCCAGCAGCCGCGUUAAUACGUAGGUGGCAAGCGUUGUCCGGAUUUACUGGGGGUAAAGGGCGUGUAGCCGGGUUGACAAGUCAGAUGUGAAAUCCUGCGGCUUAACCGCAGAACUGCAUUUGAAACUGUUGAUCUUGAGUACGGGAGAGGCAGACGGAAUUCCUAGUGUAGCGGUGAAAUGCGUAGAUAUUAGGAGGAACACCAGUGGCGAAGGCGGUCUGCUGGACAGCAACUGACGGUGAGGCGCGAAAGCGUGGGGAGCAAACAGGAUUAGAUACCCGGGUAGUC
RNAcentral lists this ribosomal RNA (442 nucleotides) under uncultured bacterium. RNAcentral describes it as "partial 16S ribosomal RNA". It matches the Rfam family "Bacterial small subunit ribosomal RNA", at positions 338 to 795 of the family's 1533-position model. The record is from RNAcentral.